RNAcentral lists this long non-coding RNA (6143 nucleotides) under Sus scrofa (pig). Its description in RNAcentral is "lncRNA (ENSSSCG00045002776.1)". Lineage: Eukaryota; Metazoa; Chordata; Mammalia; Artiodactyla; Suidae. The record is from RNAcentral.
AUCUUAAGCACAAGACAUCUUCCUGGCAGGCAAAGCACCAGCCUAGUGUCUGUCACAGAGCAGGCCCUCAACAAGUUCCGUCGGGUCUGCGUCCUCCUGCCUCCCUCUGCAGGAUCCUACACCCCGCUGCCUCACUUUUUCCUCGGUCAGCACCCAGGACGGGGAGCCAGGGGUGGCUGGGGCUACCCGCCCCUUUCUAGAUGCCCAGAUUCAAGGAGGCAAUAACUGUUCGCAGGAUUCUCCGUGUCUCCUCCUCAUAACAGGACCUCCCAGCCCCCCGGCGCCCCCCCGCCAACGUUUCCAUCGCCCAUGUCUCUGGUGCCCUUCUAAGUGUUUCUCCAAGUCACUCCUUGGCUUCACCCUCCAGGGGUCCAGGAGCCACGGGAUGGAGACCCUGGCACUUCCCCCUGGACUCGGCUCCUUCCACGGGCCCAGCCCAUCUGUUUCCCACCUCCCUGCCUUUGCCAUAGUGCUGACCCUGCUCCUAGAGGCUGCUCCACGCUGCUUCCCUCGGGCUGCCUGGUGAACAACUGCCCGCCGUCCAAGAUUCAGCUCCGAUGGGCAUCCUCCUCUAGCCCCCCACAUCCUCUGGAGCCCGCGCCCACUCCCUCCUCUGCUCCCCCAGAGCAUCUUACACGCGUUUGUCUCAGUAGCACAUCUCUCAUACGCCGCUGAUACGGACCCACGCACCUGCCUCCCCCUCCACCGAGCUCCCUCGGGCGGGAACCCAGCCCUCCUGUGAUCCGGGUCCCCAGCUCCUGGCCCAGAGCCUGGCACACAGCAGCUCUCUGUCCUCCCUGCCAGGUAAGGCCCUGGGGCCUACCCUCUGCUUCCUCCCUGGGGGCGUCCUGGUGACUGACCACGUUGGGGGCCCACAGGCCCAGGCGUGAGUCCCCGCGACGCCAAGACCCUUUCGGGCCUUGGGCAGAGACCGUCAGCUCCGGGAGCCUCUGUUUCCUCACAUGUCAGAUGGGGACGGUUGGGGCGAGAAUGUGAAAUGCCAGGGGCCAGUGAGAGGUGGCUUCUGUCACAGUGUCGUGAUGAGGAAACACAGAGUGGGCAGGGACAGGCCCGGGGAAGGCACAGAGGCGGAGCCAGCAGGGCCUCUCAGGCCCGACCCGGUCUCCGGGGAAGGGGCUCCAGGGCAUUUCGGUGGGGGAGGGGGUUCCCAGCUCAACGCUUUCCCCGCUUUCCCAAGAAGAGUCGACCCGACAGGACCUGCAAGACGGUGACGUGCUCACCACCCCCGGCCCCCUCCCCCACCCCCAAGGAAGACAGGAUGAAUCGUCCCCAGGUCGCCUGGUCACUGAGCCCAGGGGGAGGGGAAGGGCGCUCAGAAACGGCAGGUUUGGUCUCUCUGGGCGCCAGACUUCCCGCCGGGGCAGGGAGACCGAGGCAGGGUGGGGUUGGGGGAAGGCACUCGGUGAUGGGCCAGACGUGCAGUCUCUCUCCACCCAACUGGGUGGCCGUGUCCCUUUGCAAAGAUGGAGCGGCAGGUGUGUGUGUGGGGGGUCUCCAGGGUCUCAAGGUCUCACGUCCAACAAGUUGGGAGCCAUAAUGCACGUCCAGGCCCGCUGCCUCUGACACUGGCGGAGGAUGGAGACACUGGAGAGGCCGAAUCUCGGGGGUGUGGGGGGUGGAAAGGGCUCAGGCCGCAGGUGAACGGUGCUUGGGGAGCUUGAGAGCCGGCGGACCGGUCCUGUGAGGGGAGCCCGGGGACCAAAAGGAUUUCACCAUGGUCCCGGUGCUCAGCCGGGGUCUUGAAUGGUGCGUGCGUGGGAAUGGGUCCGGAGGUCAAGGGGGCCGAGAGCAGAGGCAAAGGCCCGGAGGCAUCCGGGAGUGGGGGCUGCAGCCGAGGGCAUGACUGUGGAGGAGACCCUCGGCGCUCCCUGCCGUCUUCCCUGACCACGGACCCCAGAAGCGAAGCCGUUUCCAGAUAACCAGAGUCAUAACCCCGGUAAGAACAUCGAGCGCUUGCAGCACAUGCUAGACUUCCGCCGCAGCACCUUCUAACACCAUCCAGCUUAAUCUGCGGGGCAACCUGGAGAUGAGUAUGCGGCUCGUCCCCUUCUCCAAAGACAGAAACUGGGCCCAAAGAGGCUACGUAACACGGCCAGGGCACACACCUCUGUGCGUGGUGGGUCUGGAUCCGAAUCAGCAGCCAAGCCCCAGCAGGCAGCUCUGCGGGCCGACCACUGAGCCGCACUGCCUCUCCAGGCCGGACGCCGCCUUCCCUCCCCUGACGGCUCGUCUCUGCUGCUUUCACCCGCCAGAGCGCAGGCACCUCUGGAGCAGGUGCCGCGUCUCAUUCUCCUCCUGGGGGGUCCCUCCACCCGCCCCCGCUACCGGCUCCCGCCACUCGGGGCCUUUGUAAAGGAGCUUGAGCGGCGCGUCAAGACCAGAAGAUUCCAGCAGGAGAAAGCCCUGGUCGCUGUCCACUUCCGGCUGGGAACCAAGAGUCUGUUGACUUAAUCAGGCAGAUGCAGAACGGGGUUGUCCUGGUGGCAAGGUUUCUAUUCCAGGAGGCCAGGCCGCAAUUAAAUGUCCCAACCUGCACACCUCCAAUGACUGCACGAGAGCUGGUUUCCCGGGCCUGAUAAGUAGCGAUGACAGACCCUUCGGCUGAAAUCCCGAAAUCACUCAGUAAAGGUCACCUUCUUCCUUCUUUUUCGGGCGGGAGGAGGGUGGGAUGAAAUUAGUGCCCAAAAUACAAGUGACACCCUCAUUUAAAACAGGUGCAUCCAAACAGCCAGUCCCCAGCAAAUGGCGUGGUCCUCCAGGCUUGUGAGCUGUUGUCACAGGGACUCUGCUGUGUGUGGAGCACCUGCUCCGGGCCAGGCACCGACCCAGGCUCUUAAACUGCGUUCACGAGUUAACACGUAUACCGAUGAGAUGACAAUGACACGAUGCUUUUACCCCUUUUACUGAAGAAUAAACUGAGCUCCAGGGACGUUCAGUCAUCUCCUUAGCGUGACACAGUGCACGUGGAACAUUCAGGAUUUACAGCCAAGUCUGUGUGCCUCCGAAUAGCAGGUUCUUUCCAUUAAACAAGGUGGUCUCAAGGUAACAAACUUAGUUUGGGAUUCAGGACAAGGCUGGUUCUGUGCUUUACAGGGAGUCCUGAGACGCCCCUAAAUAUCCCCUUCUCCUGGCCUAUCUCUGGACAUCUCUGAAGGCGCAGUUGAGACAUGGGUCUCUUCCAGCCUCUGGAAUGAUCUCUCACCAGUGACAACGGAGGCAGCUUUUUCUCUGGACAGGAGAGACCUGUCAUAGCACAACUCAAGCACAACAGAAACUUGGAACAGAAAUGGCGGGUGCCACAAACAACACCAAUGGACACGUGGUGCCUGUGGCAGACGUGACUCACUCAUCAGCCACGACCCCCUGGCCCGGACAGGCUCAGGCUCCUCCUCGACACUUCGUCCCCUGGACUGAACCGGCCCAGAGGAUGAAAAAGAGUUUCUGUCUCUGUCCUGGACCCACAGCGACCAUACUUCCUACAUGCAAAGUUCAGACGUGGUUUGGCUGAAGAUUAUCUUUCCGAUGUACGCACGUGCUUCAGAAACGCAUCCAAUAAACACACUCGGUCACAUAUCUAACGAAUCACUCUCAGUGAAGAGAACGAGAGUACCCACGGUCAGAGCUGUCCCUGAGGCUCUCGGGCAUAGGGUAACCACGGGGCCCUGCCUGCCUCCGGCUCACACGGGACAGACCAUCAACAUCCAGGGAACCGUGAAUGGGAGGCAAACCGAGACGGGAGAGGAAGCAGAAGUGGGGGAGUCGUGAGGGUAAGAACCGGUUGACAUCACCACCUCACUAGGGUCCACGCCUGGCUGGGGACUGAACUGACACAUGAUUUUUUUAACCCCUGGUUCCAGAAGAGGAAGAUCCAAACCCCUCGCCCAUCCGUACAUGCACACACCAGACCCAUGUGGGCACCUCUCCCCAAACUGCAGUCCGUCAGGUUUUAUAGCAAACUUAGCCAGGCUCCACUGUGCAGAGCCAAAAGCCCAUCGCAGCCAUGGGAGAGCCUGGCUUCACCCUGCAUCUCACAGACAGUCCCUGCCACCCACAGACCUGGAUGGAGAGAGUAACUGCAGAAACCUGCACAUCCAUGAGGCUAAAAUAGCAGACCUGCCGCUGAGUUUGUCCCAGUUCUUCGGUUCCGCCUUCAGGCAGCAUCAACCCUUUCAACUUCUUAUCUCAAAUAACUAAGCCACCUCUGCUAGGGGCGAAAUGCUACCAGCUGCCUUUAAGACAGAAAACACCACAAACAUCCUAGUGACAGGACCAAUACUGACUCCUCGGGGCAAUGGUGUCUCCUGGAAGACUGCAUCCAGGGAGAGGGCAGAUGCCCAGUCUCCAUCCUGAGCCCUUGCCCCCCACCGGCCACCACCUUGGCUCUGGGGUCUCCACCUUAAAAGGAGGCAGCAGACUUCACAAUUGGUACCCACAGCAGACAGGGGCUGGCGCCUAGCACGUCCAGCAGCGGUCUUCUGCCUCAUGCUGAACCCGCUGCCUGCCUCGGCUAUCUGGAAACCCCUCGGAGCUCUCCAAGGUACUGACCCUCAUUCCUGGCUGGGCCCCUAAAACAGAGGCGCGGUGAACAGCAGCUAUUCAGAGUUUAUAUAAUAUACAGGCAUACUUUGGUUCCAGACCACUGCAAUAAAGUAACGUGAGUCACACAAUUUUUUUGGUUUCCCACUACACACAAAAGUUAUGUUUAUACUAUAGUCUAUUAAGUGUGCAGUAGCAUUAUGUCUAAAAAAGCCAAUGUAUGUACCCUAAUUAAAAAUUACUUUGCUUCUAAAAUAUGCUAACCAUCACCUGACAACACAGGGUUGCCACAAACUUUCAAUCUGUAAAAAGAUAUGAUAUCUGCUAAGUGCAAGAAGGCAAAAGCACAAUAAAACCAGAUACAUUUGCAAAGUUCCCGUUGUUGCAGCUCAGGGGUAACGAACCGCGCUAGUAUCCAUGAGGACACAGGUUCGACCCCUGGCCUCGCUCAGUGGGUUAAGGAUCCAGCAUGGCCAUGAGCUGUGGUGUAGGUCGCAGACAUGGCUUAGAUCCUAUGUUGCUGUGGCUGUGGUGUAGGCCAGCCGGUGUAGCUCCGAUUGGACCCCUAGCCUGGGGACUUCCAUGUGCCCUGGGAGCAGCCCUAAAAAAAUGACCAAAAAAAAAAAAAAAGCAAACAACAAGAUAUACUUGUAUAUGAUCACAUUGUUUAAAAAGGAAUCAAUUCAAAAUACAUUUAGCUUCCUUGUUGUAUUAUUUGUAUCUCACAGGGGGAAAAUGAUCUAUUCUCAUCACGUUGAGAGGUAACUUUCUCACUUUUUACCCCUCAUUUACACGGUGGGUCUCUUGGAGAAGCCGGGAGACCUAUGUGGCAAGCAGGCCAUGGGUUUGCCUACGAUGGCCCUGAACCUCUGAUUCACCAGGUUCUCACGCUCUUGGAUGGCGCCUCUUCUAUAGCUUGGCCUUGGCUACUUCCCCUCCUCUCCCUGGCAACUCCAGGCUCCUAUGAUGCUUCUCUUCAGUCCUUGUAGGGCACUGAGAUGGUUUGUUGACCCGUUUAUCUCUCCCACUGGUUCGGGGAGUCUUCCAAAGACCAGAUCCUAUUCCGUACCUACUGUAGGGUGUGGCCCUCAGGCUCCUCAAUUAGUGCUUCAUUGCUUUGUAAACAGGAAAUGAGUAACCUCCUGGCUAUGACCCCAUCUCUUAAACCCCUGGCUUGACCUGCUCUCUAUGGCCCAUUCUGCUAGCGGGGCUCUCCUCCUGAUGGUGGGGUCAGCGGCCGGGGCUGGCCUCCACUCGGAAGAGACAUCCCUGGAAACCUCUAUGUCUUCUGCUUAUUUGCUUCCUUGUUUGUUGUAUUUCUCUGAGGAAAAGAGUCUGGUGGUGACUCUGGGUUACCCUUGCCACCUCGCCCCAUAAGAACACAGCAACACAGCGAUAACAAAAUAACAACAAAUGUAUCUUUUGAAUAUGAGUUUGCACUUUGCUAAGUACGUAACACGCAUUUGUCUAUAAGGCAGGUGUUGGCAUUAUUAUCCAAUUUUUUUUUUUUUUUUUACAGAUAAUGGAGCAGGCACAGAGAGGCUACAUGAUACACUCAAGGUCACCCAGCUGGUCAAUGAUGGACC